RNAcentral lists this ribosomal RNA (433 nucleotides) under uncultured bacterium. RNAcentral describes it as "partial 16S ribosomal RNA". It matches the Rfam family "Bacterial small subunit ribosomal RNA", at positions 29 to 507 of the family's 1533-position model. The record is from RNAcentral.
AACGAACGCUGGCGGCAUGCCUAACACAUGCAAGUCGAACGAGACCUUCGGGUCUAGUGGCGCACGGGUGCGUAACGCGUGGGAACCUGCCCUUAGGUUCGGAAUAACUCCCCGAAAGGGGUGCUAAUACCGGAUAAUGUCUUCGGACCAAAGAUUUAUCGCCUUUGGAUGGGCCCGGGUUGGAUUAGCUGGUUGGUAGGGUAAAAGCCUACCAAGGCGAUGAUCCAUAGCUGGUGUGAGAGGAGGAUCAGCCACACUGGGACUGAGACACGGCCCAGACUCCUACGGGAGGCAGGAGUGGGGAAUAUUGGACAAUGGGCGAAAGCCUGAUCCAGCAAUGCCGCGUGAGUGAUGAAGGCCUUAGGGUUGUAAAGCUCUUUUACCCGGGAUGAUGAUGACAGUACCGGGAGAAUAAGCUCCGGCUAACUCCGUG